GAUGAAGAACGCAGCGAAAUGCGAUAAGUAGUGUGAAUUGCAGAAUUCAGUGAAUCAUCGAAUCUUUGAACGCACAUUGCGCCCCUUGGUAUUCCAUGGGGCAUGCCUGUUCGAGCGUCAUUUGUACCUUCAAGCUUUGCUUGGUGUUGGGUGUUUGUCCUGAGGGACUCGCCUUAAAGUAAUUGGCAGCCAGUGUUUUGGUUUUGAAGCGCAGCACAAGUCGCGAUUCAAAGCUAUACGCCAGCUUCCACAAGCCUUUUUCACUUUUGACCUCGGAUCGGGUAGGGAUACCCGCUGAACUUAAGCAUAUCAAUAAGCGGAGGA
Molecule: unclassified non-coding RNA, 324 nt
Filed under: soil metagenome
Description: partial contains 5.8S ribosomal RNA, internal transcribed spacer 2, and large subunit ribosomal RNA
Rfam family: 5.8S ribosomal RNA (bases 1-120)
Source: RNAcentral